UACGUAGGGUGCGAGCGUUGUCCGGAAUUAUUGGGCGUAAAGGGCUCGUAGGCGGUUUGUCGCGUCGGGAGUGAAAACGCCGGGCUUAACUCGGUGCUUGCUCUCGAUACGGGCAGACUAGAGGCAUGCAGGGGAGAACGGAAUUCCUGGUGUAGCGGUGAAAUGCGCAGAUAUCAGGAGGAACACCGGUGGCGAAGGCGGUUCUCUGGGCAUGUCCUGACGCUGAGGAGCGAAAGUGUGGGGAGCGAACAGG
This 253-nucleotide ribosomal RNA is filed under the name uncultured bacterium. RNAcentral's name for it is "partial 16S ribosomal RNA". It matches the Rfam family "Bacterial small subunit ribosomal RNA", at positions 524 to 776 of the family's 1533-position model. The record is from RNAcentral.